ACUCCUGGGUCCCUCCCGGACGCCUGGGUCCCUUAUUUUGUUUUUGGGGGGGGCAGGUCCGGGGGCGCCCGUCGUUAUGAGAUGCUGAAAGAGAUUAACGAGGCGCUGGAGGCGACCGACGGGGGAGGGGCAGCGCCACGCCCGGUCAAAGGUCGCCGCUCGCGGGGGGAGGGGCUGGUUCCCCGCAAUGGCAAGAAGCUGCUGCUCAAGGGGGAGGGGCCGGACUCGGACUGACUCCGCCCCCUAGGGCUGCAGGCCACGCCCACCCUCCCCUGACCCGCCCACCCCAUUGAUAAGCAAAGCACACACCUCUUCCCCAUUGCUCCGCUCACAAUCCCGCCAGCGCGCUUUUAGCCACGCCCCCUGAUCAACCCGCCCUUCUGCAUCUGCCCCCGCCCCCUUGGCUUGGCCCCGCCCCCUUGGCUUGGCCCGCCCCCCGGGGGUGUUUUUAAGGUUUUUUAAUGCGAAUAAACACUUUUUUACUGGC
Molecule: long non-coding RNA, 487 nt
Organism: Columba livia (rock pigeon)
Lineage: Eukaryota; Metazoa; Chordata; Aves; Columbiformes; Columbidae
Exons: 2
Source: RefSeq, a predicted model, not a curated record